UACAGAGGGUGCGAGCGUUAAUCGGAAUUACUGGGCGUAAAGGGCGCGUAGGUGGUUAGUUAAGAUUGAUGUGAAAUCCCUGGGCUUAACCUAGGAAUGGCAUCGAUGACUGGCUAGCUGGAGUACUGUAGAGGGUAGUGGAAUUUCCGGUGUAGCGGUGAAAUGCGUAGAGAUCGGGAGGAACAUCAGUUGCGAAGGCGGCUCUCUGGACCAGCACUGACACUGAGGCACGAAAGCGUGGGGAGCAAACAGG
This 253-nucleotide ribosomal RNA is filed under the name uncultured bacterium. RNAcentral describes it as "partial 16S ribosomal RNA". It matches the Rfam family "Bacterial small subunit ribosomal RNA", at positions 524 to 776 of the family's 1533-position model. The record is from RNAcentral.